Molecule: ribosomal RNA, 492 nt
Filed under: uncultured bacterium
Lineage: Bacteria
Description: partial 16S ribosomal RNA
Rfam family: Bacterial small subunit ribosomal RNA
Source: RNAcentral
AGUGAACGCUGGCGGUAGGCCUAACACAUGCCAGUCGAACGGCAGCACAGUAAAAGCUUGCUUUUCCGGGUGGCGAGUGGCGGACGGGUGAGUAAUACAUCGGAAUCUACUUUUUCGUUGGGGAUAACGUAGGGAAACGUACGCCAAUACCGCAUACGACCUACGGGUGAAAGCAGGGGGUCUUCUGACCUUUUGCGAUUGCAUGAGCCGAUGUCGGAUUAGCUAGUUGGCGGGGGAAAGGACCACCAAAGCGACGAUCCGUAGAUGGUGUGAGAGGAUGAUCAGCCACCCUGGAACUGAGACACGGUCCAGACUACUACGGGAGGGAGCGGUGGGGAAUAUUGGACAAUGGAAGCGAGCAUGAUCCAGCCCAGCCGCGUGGGGGAAAAAGGCAUUCGGGUAUUAGAGCCAUUCUGUUGGGAAAGAAGAACAGCGGGUUAAUCCCGCGCUGUUCUGACGGUACCGAAUGAAUAAGCACCGGCUAACUUCGUG